UACGGAGGGGGCUAGCGUUGUUCGGAAUUACUGGGCGUAAAGCGCACGUAGGCGGCUGUUCAAGUCAGAGGUGAAAGCCUGGAGCUCAACUCCAGAACUGCCUUUGAAACUAGACAGCUUGAAUCAUGGAGAGGUGAGUGGAAUUCCGAGUGUAGAGGUGAAAUUCGUAGAUAUUCGGAAGAACACCAGUGGCGAAGGCGGCUCACUGGACAUGUAUUGACGCUGAGGUGCGAAAGCGCGGGGAGCAAACAGG
RNAcentral lists this ribosomal RNA (253 nucleotides) under uncultured prokaryote. RNAcentral describes it as "partial 16S ribosomal RNA". It matches the Rfam family "Bacterial small subunit ribosomal RNA", at positions 524 to 776 of the family's 1533-position model. The record is from RNAcentral.